CCUAGGGUGGCAGCAGUGGGGAAUAUUGGACAAUGGGCGAAAGCCUGAUCCAGCCAUGCCGCGUGUGUGAAGAAGGCCUUCGGGUUGUAAAGCACUUUCAGUGGGGAAGAAAGCCUUGGGGCUAAUACCCUCGAGGAAGGACAUCACCCACAGAAGAAGCACCGGCUAACUCCGUGCCAGCAGCCGCGGUAAUACGGAGGGUGCGAGCGUUAAUCGGAAUUACUGGGCGUAAAGCGCGCGUAGGCGGUCUGAUAAGCCGGUUGUGAAAGCCCCGGGCUCAACCUGGGAACGGCAUCCGGAACUGUCAGGCUAGAGUGCAGGAGAGGAAGGUAGAAUUCCCGGUGUAGCGGUGAAAUGCGUAGAGAUCGGGAGGAAUACCAGUGGCGAAGGCGGCCUUCUGGACUGACACUGACGCUGAGGUGCGAAAGCGUGGGUAGCAAACAGGAUUAGAUACCCGUGUAGUC
Molecule: ribosomal RNA, 464 nt
Filed under: Vreelandella stevensii
Lineage: Bacteria; Pseudomonadati; Pseudomonadota; Gammaproteobacteria; Oceanospirillales; Halomonadaceae
Description: partial 16S ribosomal RNA
Rfam family: Bacterial small subunit ribosomal RNA
Source: RNAcentral